RNAcentral lists this ribosomal RNA (303 nucleotides) under uncultured bacterium. Its description in RNAcentral is "partial 16S ribosomal RNA". It matches the Rfam family "Bacterial small subunit ribosomal RNA", at positions 507 to 809 of the family's 1533-position model. The record is from RNAcentral.
AGCAGUCGCCGCGGUAAUACGUAGGUGGCGAGCGUUGUCCGGAAUCAUUGGGCGCAAAGGGAGCGCAGGCGGGCAUAUAAGUCUUUCUUAAAAGUUCGGGGCUCAACCCCGUGAUGGGAAAGAAACUAUAUGUCUUGAGUACAGGAGAGGAAAGCGGAAUUCCCAGUGUAGCGGUGAAAUGCGUAGAUAUUGGGAGGAACACCAGUGGCGAAGGCGGCUUUCUGGACUGCAACUGACGCUGAGGCUCGAAAGCCAGGGGAGCGAACGGGAUUAGAGACCCCUGUAGUCCCUGUCUCUUAUACA